Molecule: long non-coding RNA, 206 nt
Filed under: Ananas comosus (pineapple)
Lineage: Eukaryota; Viridiplantae; Streptophyta; Magnoliopsida; Poales; Bromeliaceae
Description: long non-coding RNA (ACOM_LNC006872)
Source: RNAcentral
CGCCUCGCCGUUUACAAGAACCGCAACCUUAGCGUUACCGACACAUUGCAUCAUCCAUUUGCGCCAUUUUUCGUCAAAGCCCCACCACUCCAUAAUCUGUAGUAAAAAGACCAAUUAAUUCUAUCGUAAGCUUUCUCGAAAUCAGCUUUCACACCUACGCCUUCCACAGAAUUCUUAUCUCCCCAUCCGACAAUCUCACAAGCAGU